AAGGAAACUGCCGAAGACAGUAGGUGCCGUAAGGCAUAAGGAUCAAAACGCCUACCGAGGAGUAAAGAUUUCGUAAGAAUGAUUUAUGAAACCUCUCUGUGUCUUGCAGAGGGGUUUUUAC
This 121-nucleotide small RNA is filed under the name human gut metagenome. RNAcentral's name for it is "Ribosomal protein L10 leader". It matches the Rfam family "Ribosomal protein L10 leader", at positions 9 to 129 of the family's 138-position model. From Rfam's summary of the family: This family is a putative r-protein leader autoregulatory structure found in B. subtilis and other low-GC Gram-positive bacteria. It is located in the 5' untranslated regions of mRNAs encoding ribosomal proteins L10 and L12 (rplJ-rplL). The record is from RNAcentral.